AAGUCGUAACAAGGUUUCCGUAGGUGAACCUGCGGAAGGAUCAUUAACGAAUAUCUAUGGCGUUGGUUGUAGCUGGCUUCUAGGAGCAUUGUGCACGCCCGUCAUUCAUAUCACCUUUCCACCUGUGAACUAUUUGUAGAUCUGGAUCCCUCUCGCUUUGCUCGCAUGGCGGAUGCAAGGAUUGCUGUGCCUCUAAAAGCCAGCUCUCUUUGAAUUUCCAGGUCUAUGUCUUUUUACACACCCCAGUGCAUAACGCAGAAUGUAUCAAAUGGGCCGUAAGGCCUAUAAACACUAUACAACUUUCAGCAACGGAUCUCUUGGCUCUC
Molecule: unclassified non-coding RNA, 326 nt
Rfam family: Eukaryotic small subunit ribosomal RNA (bases 1-46)